This 71-nucleotide transfer RNA is filed under the name marine eukaryotic metagenome. It matches the Rfam family "tRNA". Rfam says of the family: Transfer RNA (tRNA) molecules are approximately 80 nucleotides in length. The record is from RNAcentral.
GGGAUGUAGCUCAGUUGGGAGAGCGCCUGCCUUGCAAGCAGGAGGUCGGCGGUUCGAGUCCGCUCAUCUCC